RNAcentral lists this unclassified non-coding RNA (902 nucleotides) under Hevea brasiliensis (rubber tree). Lineage: Eukaryota; Viridiplantae; Streptophyta; Magnoliopsida; Malpighiales; Euphorbiaceae. The record is from RNAcentral.
AGAGAUUUGCUGCGUGAUUCAAUGACAGCUUUCAAAUUACAGGGACAUUACCGAGGAGAAUGAGCCCUAUCUCUCCCCAGUGGCUCUACCCAGAGAAGAUGAGAAAUCAAAAUGAUCUCAAGCAAUGAUAUGCGUGUGAAUCCUUCCUUUCAGAUUAUACUUUGAAUGCAUAAAGAAUAUCCAAAAUCCCUAACACUGAGAUAAAGUUUUACUUUUCCUUUUGCAAAAUUUUUUUUUCAAGGUCCUGAAGUUUUUCAUGGGUUCACUAAAUUUGGUAGCUCAAUUUAGAAAUUUCCCAUACUUCGGGUCAUAGAAACUUUCAGCUUUUGUUAUUUUGCAUGUCAGCUGAAACUUCCAAAUGAAAUUCGAGUCAUCUAAGCCAUCACAAUUUUUGUUGCAAAGUAAUUAGUCCUCAGUCCUCACAAAUUUAGUAUAUUCCAAUUCAUUCAGUUCUUGACAACUUCUAGAGGAAUUGAGAUGCUUGUGUGGUUUCCUUGUGAACUUAUUCUAUCAGGAUCUCAUAUUCACUAUCAGACCAUAUUAUUUGUAGAUUUCAAUUUAAUUUCUUAUGCCUUUGAUGUUUUGUAAAUUUUACAAGCAUGAGUUCCACAAAUUAUGUUGACUCAAUCUCACAUUAGCUUUUAGUUCAUGGAAAAUUGUAACCAUCCACAAAUUCAGGUCAUAAUGUCACUGUUACCUGCAUUAUUAUAUUUCAGAUUGAGUUAACUUAGUUAUGAUGUAUAACUAAAAUCCUCAGUUGCGUAGGCUUGUGAGUUUGUGCUGAACAGUAUUAGGACAGAUUAAGGCUUCAUAUCCAUGCAUAGAGAGUAAAUAAGAGCUGAACCCAACUAGCAAAUCUUUGGUCAAAGACUAGUUUGGCUAGACGCUUCUCUCAAACUUUU